GGGCCAGUUUUGGAUUCGCCAGGAUUAAUGAAUAUUUGUAAGCAUGUCAUGGUUACGCAUGUAAAAACGUCGAGGUUAAAUUAACCGCAAACACAAAUUUAUUCGCUCGCAGCAAUGCUAGCGUACAAUUAGCUUGCUAAUUUAAUCAAGCUCGUCUCCUAGCUAUUUUCCUAUGGUAGUUAGCUAGACGUUUAUUAAGUAGGAUAUAUUUUAAGGCUGCCACCUUAAGUCUUAGAAUGAAUUUAGUAAGGUUAGUUUAUAUUAUGUUUGCCUUGUAGCAAGAUAUAAAUGAAAUUAAUUACAAAGCUAAGCAUGUAGAAAGCGAAGGCUAGUUAGUUUUGUACCGGGGUUCGAGUCCCCGCCGGUCCACCA
Molecule: transfer-messenger RNA, 372 nt
Filed under: Anaeroplasmataceae
Lineage: Bacteria; Bacillati; Mycoplasmatota; Mollicutes; Anaeroplasmatales
Also listed under: 1 other name
Description: CAG-307 sp001916215 Standard tmRNA
Rfam family: transfer-messenger RNA
About the family: Bacterial tmRNA, also known as 10Sa RNA or SsrA, is named for its dual tRNA and mRNA-like properties. Its role is to liberate the mRNA from a stalled ribosome. To accomplish this part of the tmRNA is used as a reading frame that ends in a translation stop signal.
Source: RNAcentral